ACGCUCGACACCUACGGGAGGUAGCAGUUAGGAAUAUUCGUCAAUGGAGGAAACUCUGAACGAGCAAUGCCGCGUGAGCGAUGAAGGCCCUAUGGGUCGUAAAGCUCUGUUGUAAAGGAAGAAUACUUGAUAUAGGAAAUGAUAUCAAGCUGACGGUACUUUACCAGAAAGCCCCGGCUAACUACGUGCCAGCAGCCGCGGUAAUCUGAGCGGGCGUGGCGAAGGC
RNAcentral lists this ribosomal RNA (226 nucleotides) under uncultured bacterium. RNAcentral describes it as "partial 16S ribosomal RNA". It matches the Rfam family "Bacterial small subunit ribosomal RNA", at positions 328 to 538 of the family's 1533-position model. The record is from RNAcentral.